Molecule: non-coding RNA, 602 nt
Organism: Arachis ipaensis
Lineage: Eukaryota; Viridiplantae; Streptophyta; Magnoliopsida; Fabales; Fabaceae
Source: RefSeq, a predicted model, not a curated record
GCCAUGUGUUCCCAUGAUUCUUGUUGUUACAUGUGUGUCUUCCCCUUCAGGUCCAUCCUUAGCCAGACCGAAAUCCGACAGUUUCGCCGUAAAAUCCUAUAUUUGGAGAUGUAACAUAACAUAAGAUGAUCCUUAAGAAGGUUUAUCUGCUCCAUGAAGGAAGGCCAAUCCCUUUGCUGCUCCUAAUGCAAUUUUCAUCCUUGUUGACCAUGGCAUGGCAGCAGAGUACCCUGCUUUUUUAAUCACAGGCCUUAAUACUUUCUUUAUGAGUCAUCGAGUCUGGUGGUGGUGGCGGUGGUGGUAGUAAUAGGAGGCAAUUUUGUUGGUCAUUGUUGUUAAAGAGGAGAAGGUUGGAAGAAUAUGGAAUGUAGAGUAAGAUGAUGGUUAAGAUCAAUUGAGGGGUGAUGCUGCUUUUAGAUCCAUUAUUGCAUUGAUUGGAAUAAGGAUGCAUUUGAUUUUCUUUUAUUAAUUAUUAGUUUAUUUUCAAGGUUCGAUUUUCCUUUCCUUGACAUUGUUUCUUGCUUAUAAAGGUGGUGUGUAACACCCUACCACACUGAGCUUUAUGCUUAAGCUGUAAAAUAGAGGUGGUGUGGUAUUACGUA